Crotalus tigris (Tiger rattlesnake) is the source of this 2477-nucleotide long non-coding RNA. RefSeq lists it as uncharacterized. The record is from RefSeq and is a predicted model, not a curated record. The transcript is spliced from 4 exons. Lineage: Eukaryota; Metazoa; Chordata; Lepidosauria; Squamata; Viperidae.
GCGGAGGGUUGCGCUCAACUUUCAGCCAUUCAGAAGUUGUCUCGGCAGCCUGGCCCUUCGCUGUCGGCGGACUAACCCCGGGCUCCCUCCUGCGGGCUCGGGUUGGGCGUGGAGGUCUUCUCGCUUGGGAGCCUGGAGGUCCAUCAGCCGAGCCCCAAAGGGAGGUCCAGGUGGGCACCCAAGCUGGGGAUGCGGAGAGGAGGUGUCGCCGGCUGGGAGGAAAGUCGAUGUCAUCCGCACAGAGGCAGAGGUGGACAGAGGCCGAGUCUCUCUCUGGACAAACACACAAGAGGGAUGGGAAAGAAGAGGCUCCUUUCUCUCUCUCUCCGGGCUGCCAGAAAUAGACACAGCCGCCCGCUUCCCUCCCCUGCUGGAAUCUCUCUUGGGAAGGUGAAGGACAUUAAAUCAAUUACAAAGUUCCAACAUUAAAUCAAUUACAAAGCUCCGUCAUUCAUUGGUGAAUGUUCAACCCACUGAGGAAUUAGUUCUGCCUCAGACAUUCCUGGCAAUCUGUAGAUGACAUCACUUGAUGACUCACUGCUCCAGGUGGGUCUGUCUUCCAAUCAAAAGGAUGCGCCCUGAAGCAGCUCUUUGUCAACUCCAAAUUUGAUGCAGAUGGACCUGGAAUGUCGUAAGCUGGGUGUGAGCAGAAGAGCAGCUAGUGACGAAAAAAAUGAGUCAGGAAAACUACACAAUACUCACGCAGCCUCUCUAUUAUGAUGCUAGGCCAAAGAAGGAACUGAGAGUUACCUUUUCCCUGUCUAAAGAGCGAACUUGCUAUAUUUCCUGGCCUAUGGCUUUUCUCCACUAUUCUAAAUAUGAAAAGACCUGGCUCAUCCCCCUGAGCACUGGACUAGGCUGGGAGCGAGCCCAGCAAAUGUCAAGUUGAUCUGGUGAGAUCAUGGUGGGAAGUGCAUUUCUUCUGCCCAGAUAGUCCUUGGUUAAAAAUGGUAAUUGAGGACGGAAGUUCUGUCCCUAAGCAAUAUGGUUAUAAAGCAUGAUGUCAUGUGACUGCAUCGCUUAGCAACAGUAAUCCCAGGAGUCCCUAUUGCUGAGGUUAAUUGAACCCCACUGGCUAUUAGAUGAGGACUCACCCCAUCUCAGUCCAAACCAUUCCUGGCUUAGUCUCUCCCAACUCCAAGAUCCAGUUAGGUAAGAGGCUGCCUCUUUUCCUCCUGUUGAACUUCAUCACACCACAUGCCUAUCUUCCACACCAUGUCCGCCUAUUAGGUCACCCAUCAACCCGCUACUGCCAGCUGCUCCAUUGCCUAGCUCUCUCACUGUGCCUACUGCAUUGCCCGCCACUACUGUACUUGCUGGAACCUUCUUUCACACCACUGCCUUUUGCGUUCAGGGUUUAUCUCGCACCCUGUUCAGAGCCUCCAUUUACGCUAUAGCCGGGGCCUCCAUUGCUGCUUCACCCAGGGCUAGAAAGGGUCUUCUUCAGUGCUGGCACACAGGGCUUUUGUGAAAGGAGGCCUGAGUGGAGCUUGAAUUAGAGGCCCUGGCUGGCUGGUGUGCAAAUGCCAUGAUGGGUGGGGCCAGGCAGUGCGGGUGCUUGGCAGCCCUGGGUAGGUGAGUAGCCAAAAGGUGGUCCUAAGUGAAGGUGGGCACAAGUGUGCCUGCAUUUUAGUCAUAUGACAGUAGGGGGGGGGUUUGCUGGAAAUUCAGGGCCCAAUCUUAAGUCCCUUCAUUGAGUGCCUUUGUAACUUCAAAUGGAUACUGAAUGAGCAUUAAGAGAGCAUUAUCUGUAUGUAUAGUAUGGGUCUGUCAUGGCAUGUUUUUGUCUUUAUUGGUUGCAUUGUGACCCACCCAGGGUCUUUUUUUAAUCGGAUGGGUAGCCAUAUAAAUCUUUGACAUGAAUGAAAGGAUAAGUAAAUGGUGUGUAUGAGGGCUACUGAGCAGUGGUGGGAUUCAGAUAUGUGAACAAACCGGUUCUCUGUGUGGAUGCUGCUUCCGGAAGUCCAUUCUGGGCCUGGGCACCAAAAAAUAGCUACCGGUUCUGCCAAAUUGGUGCGAACUGGCUGAAUCCCACCACUGCUACUGAGUACAUGCAUUUUAACAUCCUAUUCUAAAAAUGCAGAAUGUGAGUGUGUUCAUACACAUUUAGCCUGAAUUGUUAUGUUCAGUGGGCUUACUCCCACAGGUUGAUAAAAUUACAACUGAAAUAAACAUGUUUUUACAACAAACUAGAAUGUGGUGCUUUCUCUGGGAUACUGCACGUGAUGGAAAUGAAACAAGAAGUGUGGAAGAGAAGAGAUGCAGUUUAGAUAGAAACCUAGCAAAAUAAAAAAAAAUACUUAUAUCUCAAUUGUUAGAGCUAAUAUUAAUGCCUUAUUUGAACAUGUGCAUAGAUAAUAUACCUCCUUUGUCCUGCUGUUUUAAACUAUAAUUAUCAUCAUCCCCAGUCAGUAUGACAGAAUGGUUGGUAGAGUCAGAACAUGGAGUUGCAUGCAAUAAAAAUGACUUUUAAUUAA